UUGUAGGCUUGUUUGUAGAUUCUGCUUUACAAACCACCAAAGGCGGCGGCGCACAUGGUGCGCUCGUUUGCCAGUUCUUUUUUCCGGCAGGCAAAAUUCUUGAACAAAUCAAGAAAAAACAAGCAGUAUGGGAAAAGCUACUUCAAGAACCACCAUCAAGCUUCAGAGACAGAGCUUUGGAUCACAUAAAAGAGCAAUCUCGAGCUGAUGACUUAGCCUUCUCUUUCCUGACAGAUGCUCUGAACACUGUGAAGGAGAAGAUGGAGUUCAGCUCUUCUGAACGUGACAAAAUAUUUGCUUCAAGUAACUAAAAUCUCUUUUUAAUCGUUUUGUGGUUAUGGCUGUGUUAGACAAUAACUAUUAUUAUAUUUUGGGUACAUGUUUUGAACACAUAUUAUGUUUGCUCUGAAUAUUAAAUCGCAUGAAUGAUAUAGC
RNAcentral lists this long non-coding RNA (435 nucleotides) under Helianthus annuus (common sunflower). The record is from RNAcentral. Lineage: Eukaryota; Viridiplantae; Streptophyta; Magnoliopsida; Asterales; Asteraceae.